This 787-nucleotide long non-coding RNA is filed under the name Mytilus galloprovincialis (Mediterranean mussel). The record is from RNAcentral. Lineage: Eukaryota; Metazoa; Mollusca; Bivalvia; Mytilida; Mytilidae.
UUCGUAUUAAUUAACAGGUGACCAAGUUCAAACAAAUUCUAUAUUUUUUUUAUUUUUUUAAUUUAAUUGUUCAACAUGUAAUAAUCCGUUGUUGAGUAGAUGAAGUUGAUGAAAAAUUCGGUAGGACAUGUAAAUACUUGGUGUUUACGAAAUAUACGGAUUUCAUGAUAGACCUGUACUCAACCAGUUCUCGACUUCUUUUCAAUGUCUUAUAAAUACUUGACUAAAGGACGUUAAACUAUUAACUCUACUAGCACGAAGUCUAAACUAUAUUACACAAAGUCAGGAUGAUGUUCUUCAAGUUUUUCCAUUCUUAGACGUAUUCUUAAUCUAACCCUAUAUAUUUUCUUUUAUAUUUAGAGUAUGCAUUUUAAAAGAUUUGUUUCCUUUUUUUUGUUGAUAUGUUCACAGAAAUGCAUGAAAUAUAGACAUAUUGCCGCAUUAUGGUAUCAUAAUAUUUAUCUGGAUGUUCAACGCAUUUUUUCCCUCGAAUCGACUACAUGUACCAUAAAUAUAUAAUUCAUCUUGACAUAAAAAAAGAGUCAUAUUCCAGUAUUGUAAUAUUUUGCAUUGAAAUAACAGAAACGUCAAUGGCGAUAUGUUAUUUGUGUUAAAGAGUAAUUUACAAUUCAAGAUUCAAAUAUAAUUUACGGAAAAUCAUCAGGUGAUAUCAAGGGUCACUCUUGAUAUUUACACAAAUAUAAAUAUAUAUAAAUAAAAAGAUACAAACAAUACAACCAUGUGAUUAUUCCCUCGCGGUCCUGUUUAAUUCAUAUAAGUCACUGUC